UACGUAGGGGGCAAGCGUUGUCCGGAUUUACUGGGCGUAAAGAGCGUGUAGGCGGCCAAGCAGGUCCGUUGUGAAAACUGGAGGCUUAACCUCCAGACGUCGACGGAAACCGCGUGGCUAGAGUCCGGAAGAGGAGAGUGGAAUUCCUGGUGUAGCGGUGAAAUGCGCAGAUAUCAGGAAGAACACCAAUGGCGAAGGCAGCUCGCUGGGACGUGACUGACGCUGAGACGCGAAAGCGUGGGGAGCAAACAGG
RNAcentral lists this ribosomal RNA (253 nucleotides) under uncultured bacterium. RNAcentral's name for it is "partial 16S ribosomal RNA". It matches the Rfam family "Bacterial small subunit ribosomal RNA", at positions 524 to 776 of the family's 1533-position model. The record is from RNAcentral.